Molecule: ribosomal RNA, 253 nt
Filed under: uncultured Planctomyces sp.
Lineage: Bacteria; Pseudomonadati; Planctomycetota; Planctomycetia; Planctomycetales; Planctomycetaceae
Description: partial 16S ribosomal RNA
Rfam family: Bacterial small subunit ribosomal RNA
Source: RNAcentral
UACGAACUGUGCGAACGUUAUUCGGAAUCACUGGGCUUAAAGGGUGCGUAGGCGGUCCGCCCAGUCAGGUGUGAAAUCCCCCGGCUCAACCGGGGAAUAGCGCUUGAAACUAGCGGGCUGGAGUGGGGCAGGGGUGUGUGGAACUUCCGGUGGAGCGGUGAAAUGUGUAGAUAUCGGAAGGAACGCCGGUGGCGAAAGCGGCACACUGGGCCUUGUCUGACGCUGAGGCACGAAAGCUAGGGGAGUGAACGGG